AGUGGGGAAUAUUGCACAAUGGAGGAAACUCUGAUGCAGCAACGCCGCGUGGAGGAUGACGCAUUUCGGUGUGUAAACUCCUUUUAUAUAGGAAGAUAAUGACGGUACUAUAUGAAUAAGCACCGGCUAACUCCGUGCCAGCAGCCGCGGUAAUACGGAGGGUGCAAGCGUUACUCGGAAUCACUGGGCGUAAAGCGCAUGCAGGCGGUUUAUUAAGUUGGAAGUGAAAUCCUAUGGCUCAACCAUAGAACUGCUUCCAAAACUGAUAAACUAGAGUCUGGGAGGGGAAGAUGGAAUUAGUAGUGUAGGGGUAAAAUCCGUAGAGAUUACUAGGAAUACCAAAAGCGAAGGCGAUCUUCUGGAACAGUACUGACGCUGAGAUGCGAAAGCGUGGGGAGCAAACAGGAUUAGAUACCCUGGUAGUCCACGCAGUAAACGAUGAAUGUUAGUCGUUGGGACUCUAGUAGUUUCAGUGAUGCAGUUAACACAUUAAACAUUCCGCCUGGGGAGUACGGUCGCAAGAUUAAAACUCAAAGGAAUAGACGGGGACCCGCACAAGUGGUGGAGCAUGUGGUUUAAUUCGAAGAUACGCGAAGAACCUUACCUAGCCUUGACAUACUACAGAAUUUGACAGAGAUGUUGAAGUGCCUUCGGGAGCUGUAAUACAGGUGCUGCACGGCUGUCGUCAGCUCGUGUCGUGAGAUGUUGGGUUAAGUCCCGCAACGAGCGCAACCCUCGUCCUUAGUUACUAACGGUUCGGCCGAGGACUCUAAGGAGACUGCCUUCGUAAGGAGGAGGAAGGUGAGGACGACGUCAAGUCAUCAUGGCCCUUACGGCUAGGGCAACACACGUGCUACAAUGGUUAGGACAAUGAGAAGCGAUACCGCGAGGUGGAGCAAAUCUAUAAACCUAAUCUCAGUUCGGAUAGCAGUCUGCAACUCGACUGCUUGAAGCUGGAAUCACUAGUAAUCGUAAAUCAGCUAUGUUACGGUGAAUCGU
RNAcentral lists this ribosomal RNA (999 nucleotides) under uncultured bacterium. RNAcentral describes it as "bacterial SSU rRNA". It matches the Rfam family "Bacterial small subunit ribosomal RNA", at positions 353 to 1371 of the family's 1533-position model. The record is from RNAcentral.